UAGACCUCAGAUCAGACAGGA
Molecule: ribosomal RNA, 21 nt
Filed under: Leucosporidium intermedium
Lineage: Eukaryota; Fungi; Basidiomycota; Microbotryomycetes; Leucosporidiales; Leucosporidiaceae
Description: partial 26S rRNA
Source: RNAcentral